CCCCUACGGGAGGCAGCAGUCGAGAAUCAUUCACAAUGGGGGAAACCCUGAUGGUGCGACGCCGCGUGGGGGAAUGAAGGUCUUCGGAUUGUAAACACCUGUCAUGUGGGAGCAAAUUAAAAAGAUAGUACCACAAGAGGAAGAGACGGCUAACUCUGUGCCAGCAGCCGCGGUAAUACAGAGGUCUCAAGCGUUGUUCGGAAUCACUGGGCGUAAUGCGCGCAUAGGCUGUUUCGUAAGUCGUGUGUGAAAGGCGCGGGCUCCACCCGCGGACGGCACAUGAUAAUGC
RNAcentral lists this ribosomal RNA (289 nucleotides) under uncultured bacterium. RNAcentral describes it as "partial 16S ribosomal RNA". It matches the Rfam family "Bacterial small subunit ribosomal RNA", at positions 336 to 636 of the family's 1533-position model. The record is from RNAcentral.